Molecule: long non-coding RNA, 207 nt
Filed under: Solanum tuberosum (potato)
Lineage: Eukaryota; Viridiplantae; Streptophyta; Magnoliopsida; Solanales; Solanaceae
Description: long non-coding RNA (STUB_LNC007316)
Source: RNAcentral
AUGUGUGAAAUAAGACUUUUCUUUGUUGUGAGGGCACUAGAAGCAUGAGGAUUGGUACAAUUUAAAACAUUUGUUUGAAAAAAGAUGAAAAAAUCUUGUUGAUACUGAAGUAUGUUUGAGGUACCACUUGAAGUUGUGGGAAUUACCUUGAAUUAAAUCUUAGUUAGAAAAAAAGAGAAAAAAAAAGAAGAAGAGAAAGUUACAUGC